AGAGUUUGAUCCUGGCUCAGGAUAAACGCUGGCGGCGUGCCUAACACAUGCAAGUCGAACGCUCUGUUUCGGCAGAGAGUGGCGGACGGGUGAGUAACACGUGGGUCAUCUACCUUUCGGUGAGGGAUACCGGCGAGAAAUCGCCGACAAGCCCGCAUGAGCUUCCUUUCGGGGAAGGAAAAUCGCGAGAUGCCGGGAGA
This 200-nucleotide ribosomal RNA is filed under the name uncultured bacterium. Its description in RNAcentral is "partial 16S ribosomal RNA". It matches the Rfam family "Bacterial small subunit ribosomal RNA", at positions 8 to 225 of the family's 1533-position model. The record is from RNAcentral.